This 250-nucleotide ribosomal RNA is filed under the name uncultured bacterium. RNAcentral's name for it is "partial 16S ribosomal RNA". It matches the Rfam family "Bacterial small subunit ribosomal RNA", at positions 524 to 773 of the family's 1533-position model. The record is from RNAcentral.
UACGGGGGGAGCGAGCGUUGUUCGGAAUCACUGGGCGUAAAGGGUGCGCAGGCGGGAGAUUAAGUUGAAUGUGAAAACCUCGGGCUUAACCCGGGGCCUGCAUCCAAAACUGAUCUUCUUGAGUAUCGGAGAGGAAAGUGGAACUCCAGGUGUAGCGGUGAAAUGCGUAGAUAUCUGGAGGAACACCUGUGGCGAAGGCGGCUUUCUGGCCGAAUACUGACGCUCAUGCACGAAGGCUAGGGGAGCAAAC